GGAUAAAUACUGUAUUACUGUGAAUUCAACAUGUGGUUAUAUCGACUUUAUACUAUGUAAUAAAAGUGGUUAAGUAGAUGGAAGUCGAGUAAAACAGAUAGAAAAUUAUUAAUUCUCGUUAAAAUCUAAUCCUUGAGAAAUUGAUAAUUAAUCAAUCGUGAGAUAAAAUGGAAAUUGAAUAUUGAAUUAAAUAUUCAUUUAAUAUUUUCAUCUUAGGAGAAUUUCUUAUACGGAUAGUCGUUUGAACUUGGGGUUAUUUUGAACUUUAAUUUUAUAUUCUACUUACAGAAAGAUAAAUAAAAUAAAUAACAUUCUCGCGUAAAAAUUUAUUUUAUGAUCGAAAUAAAAGAAAUUAUAUAUUCUGGGUCAAAAGUGACUCGACGUCUGCCGUGCACACGAUAACUUCGCCGUUCGCAAUCCGAGGGUUAAGGUGAAGAGAUUGCUGCAGAUUUAAUUUCAUAAAUUGAUGACAGCAUCUGUUCUUGUUCUAUUUAAAAUCGUUUCAACACAUAAAUGCGAGAAUUAUUCAUUAGAUAUUAGAAUAAUUAAGAUAAUGAACAGUUAAUAAAUUGUAUAAAAUG
Apis cerana (Asiatic honeybee) is the source of this 581-nucleotide long non-coding RNA. RefSeq lists it as uncharacterized. The record is from RefSeq and is a predicted model, not a curated record. NCBI's taxonomy places the organism in Eukaryota, Metazoa, Arthropoda, Insecta, Hymenoptera, Apidae.